AUCCCAUGAUGAGGACAGGCAUGAAUGUACUCCUAGAGACAUUCCCAUGCUUCAGGAAUCGUCUCAUCAACUUGUUGUUCAAAACUAGAGAUCUUUCCAUGAAGGGC
This 107-nucleotide small nucleolar RNA is filed under the name Sorghum bicolor (sorghum). RNAcentral describes it as "Plant small nucleolar RNA R71". It matches the Rfam family "Plant small nucleolar RNA R71". From Rfam's summary of the family: R71 is a member of the C/D box family of snoRNAs containing the C (UGAUGA) and D (CUGA) box motifs. Multiple nearly identical copies of this snoRNA have been identified in Arabidopsis, and it is thought to function as a 2'-O-ribose methylation guide for 18S ribosomal RNA. The record is from Rfam by way of RNAcentral. Lineage: Eukaryota; Viridiplantae; Streptophyta; Magnoliopsida; Poales; Poaceae.